Molecule: ribosomal RNA, 402 nt
Filed under: uncultured bacterium
Lineage: Bacteria
Description: bacterial SSU rRNA
Rfam family: Bacterial small subunit ribosomal RNA
Source: RNAcentral
UGGGGAAUAUUGGACAAUGGGGGAAACCCUGAUCCAGCAAUGCCGCGUGAGUGAAGAAGGCCUUAGGGUUGUAAAGCUCUUUCGCCCGCGAAGAUAAUGACGGUAGCGGGAGAAGAAGCCCCGGCUAACUCCGUGCCAGCAGCCGCGGUAAUACGGAGGGGGCCAGCGUUGUUCGGAAUUACUGGGCGUAAAGCGUACGUAGGCGGAUGCGCAAGUUGGGGGUGAAAUCCCGGGGCUUAACCUCGGAAUUGCCCUCAAAACUGCACGUCUUGAGACCGAGAGAGGUCAGGGCAAUUCCUAGUGUAGAGGUGAAAUUCGUAGAUAUUAGGAAGAACACCAGUGGCGAAGGCGCCUUACUGGCUCGGUACUGACGCUGAGGUACGAAAGCGUGGGGAGCAAACA